Molecule: non-coding RNA, 112 nt
Organism: Acanthosepion pharaonis
Lineage: Eukaryota; Metazoa; Mollusca; Cephalopoda; Sepiida; Sepiidae
Source: the annotation of a GenBank genome assembly
UACAGCCAUAUCGCGUUGAAAUACUUGUUCCCUUACGAUCACUGUAAUUAAGAAACGAUGAGCCUGUUCAGGACCUAGAUGGGUGACCGCUUGGAAAUAUCAGGUGCUGUAA